RNAcentral lists this ribosomal RNA (380 nucleotides) under Apocephalus crassilatus. Its description in RNAcentral is "partial 28S ribosomal RNA". It matches the Rfam family "Eukaryotic large subunit ribosomal RNA", at positions 1071 to 1415 of the family's 3401-position model. Lineage: Eukaryota; Metazoa; Arthropoda; Insecta; Diptera; Phoridae. The record is from RNAcentral.
GGGUAAGAACCUCACCUAUCUUGAUAUGUAGGUGGGGUUGUGAUAUAUUGUGCCCAGUGGGCCACUUUUGGUAAGCAGAACUGGCGCUGUGGGAUGAACCAAACGCAAUGUUACGGUGCCAAAAUUUACAACUCAUGCAGAUACCAUGAAAGGCGUUGCUUGCUUAAAACAGCAGGACGGUGGACAUGGAAGUCGUAAUCCGCUAAGGAGUGUGUAACAACUCACCUGCCGAAGCAACUAGCCCUUAAAAUGGAUGGCGCUUAAGUUGUAUACCUAUACAUUGCCGCUAAUGUAGAUGGUUUAUAUGGAAUUUCGGUUUCAUAUAAAUUUUGAAACAUUAGUGAGUAGGAGGGUACAAUGGUGUGCCUAGAAGUGUUUGG